CAGUGGCGUAUAUUAAAGUUGUUGCAGUUAAAAAGCUCGUAGUUGGAUUUUUGGCUGUGCGCGCGGUCCCUCGCGGUACUUCGUGCGCGGCCAUGUUUGGGUGGAGCCCGCGUGGCAUUAGGUUGUCGUGCGGGUGGUUGCCCAUCCUUUACUGUGAAAAAAUUAGAGUGUUCAAAGCAGGCUUAUGCCGUUGAAUAGAUUAGCAUGGAAUAAUGAGAUAGGGCCUCGGCACUAUUUUGUUGGUUUGCGCGCUGAGGUAAUGAUUAGUAGGGACAGUUGGGGGUAUUCGUAUUCCAUUGUCAGAGGUGAAAUUCUUGGAUUUCUGGAAGACGAACUACUGCGAAAGCAUUUACCAGGGAUGUUUUCAUUAA
RNAcentral lists this ribosomal RNA (371 nucleotides) under uncultured eukaryote. RNAcentral describes it as "partial 18S ribosomal RNA". It matches the Rfam family "Eukaryotic small subunit ribosomal RNA", at positions 592 to 976 of the family's 1831-position model. The record is from RNAcentral.